GACGAACGCUGGCGGCGUGCUUAACACAUGCAAGUCGAACGAAGAGCGACGGAAGCUUGCUUCUAUCAAUCUUAGUGGCGAACGGGUGAGUAACGCGUAAUCAACCUGCCCUUCAGAGGGGGACAACAGUUGGAAACGACUGCUAAUACCGCAUACGAUCUAACCUCGGCAUCGAGGAUAGAUGCAAGGUGGCCCCUACAUGUAAGCUAUCACUGAAGGAGGGGAUUGAGUCUGAUUAGCUAGUUGGAGGGGUAACGGCCCACCAAGGCGAUGAUCAGUAGCCGGUCUGAGAGGAUGAACGGCCUCAUUGGGACUGGGACACGGCCCAGACUCCUACGGGAGGCAGCAGGGGGGAAUCUUUCGCAAUGGAAGAAAGUCUGAAGGAGCAACGCCGCGUGAGUGAUGACGGCCUUCGGGUUGGAAAGCUCUGUUAAUCGGGACGAAAGGCCUUCUUGCGAAUAGUGAGAAGGAUUGACGGUACCGGAAUAGAAAGCCACGGCUAACUACGUG
Molecule: ribosomal RNA, 510 nt
Filed under: uncultured bacterium
Lineage: Bacteria
Description: partial 16S ribosomal RNA
Rfam family: Bacterial small subunit ribosomal RNA
Source: RNAcentral